CCUGCAGGCAUGCUACUGGGCAGAGGUUAGCGUUGUGAGGAAAGGAGGGAUAGAAGACUGAAGUGAUGUUCGACUUUGUACGUCUGGUGAUAUUAAACAGGACACCAUCCGGUGUGAAUGAUCGUGCAUCGAUAUCCAAGGCCCUCACGUCUGAUACCCGUUUGCAGGAAAUUAAGCAUAGAAGCAUUGCCAAUUUUGCAGACACUUGCUUGAGUGUUAGGUUCGAGUUUGGGGGCCAAUCUUGCAACAAACGAAGGACCAUAUUCACAUCCCAUAGGGCCGUGUAACGAGGUUGUGGUGGACGUGCAAAUUUUAUGCCCCGUAGGAGACGACAGAUCCAUAAGUGCUUCCCAGCCGGGAAGCCUUCCCAACCAGUGUGCCCAGCUGAAAUCGCUGACCUGUAGACAUUUAUGGUGCGAUAAGCCAAGCCUUGAUCAUAAAGGGUAGUAAGGAAAACCAAAACCUGGUUUAUAGGAGCACGUAUGGGAUCCACGUGCCGUUCCACGCACCAACUACACCAUGUGUUCCAGGCAUGGGCAUAGGAACGUCUUGUCCCUGGGGCCCAAGCUCCUGC
Molecule: non-coding RNA, 574 nt
Organism: Pelobates cultripes (western spadefoot toad)
Lineage: Eukaryota; Metazoa; Chordata; Amphibia; Anura; Pelobatidae
Source: the annotation of a GenBank genome assembly